GCCCGCUUGGCUCAGCGGUAGAGCGUAAGUUUCAUCGAUUAGAACUCGGCUAUACUCCGUAUAACGUACUAAAGUCACGAUAGGCAUCACUAGUAAUGAUGAGGUCGUCAGUUCGACUCUGGCAGUGGGCA
Non-coding RNA from Nemania sp. FL0916, 131 nucleotides. The record is from the annotation of a GenBank genome assembly. NCBI's taxonomy places the organism in Eukaryota, Fungi, Ascomycota, Sordariomycetes, Xylariales, Xylariaceae.